This 301-nucleotide ribosomal RNA is filed under the name uncultured bacterium. RNAcentral describes it as "partial 16S ribosomal RNA". It matches the Rfam family "Bacterial small subunit ribosomal RNA", at positions 509 to 807 of the family's 1533-position model. The record is from RNAcentral.
CAGUAGCCGCGGGAAUACGAAGGGUGCAAGCGUUACUCGGAAUUACUGGGCGUAAAGCGUGCGUAGGUGGUGGUUUAAGUCCGUUGUGAAAGCCCUGGGCUUAACCUGGGAAUUGCAGUGGAUACUGGGUCACUAGAGUGUGGUAGAGGAUAGUGGAAUUUCCGGUGUAGCAGUGAAAUGCGUAGAGAUCGGAAGGAACAUCUGUGGCGAAGGCGACUAUCUGGGCCAACACUGACACUGAGGCACGAAAGCGUGGGGAGCAAACAGGAUUAGAUACCCGUGUAGUCCCUGUCUCUUAUAC